UUAACUCUGCUGUGCUCAAGACUGCCUGUUCUUGCAAAAAGCCGGUGCUGGUAAAACUGCCUCAGCCAAGGAAAAAGAAUGCGAACUUCCAAGCUAAAAGGAAGAUAAGGGGGGGCCCUUGAACUUUGAAACAAAGACGAGAGCCAAAGCUGAGGCUUCGAGAGAUGGACAGGGUGACCAGAGAGUUCUCUCUCUACAAGGACUGAUAAGAACUAGUUGCAAGUUGUAAUGCAAAACCAGUAAAAUGAAUAUGCAUUAACCUAUUGUGAAACUCUAUGCAUAUGUACAAGUAAGGGGGAUAAAAAAGGUUCAGGAAUUCUCAGGGGUGCAUGUGUCCUUUGGGGGGAAUGAUCCCCACAUGUGUCCAGCAUGGGAAUAAACAUAUCAGCUUUACAACAUUUACAAGUUGUGGAGUUAGUUUUUUUCCACAAAUCAUUUUGGCAAGCCAGCCAUGAGAUUGUCUCUGUCCUCGCAGGGGCCUAGGGGGUGACGGGUCUUCCUAGGCAGGCCCCGGGAUUUUCCCUGGAGGAGCUCCGCUCUGUCUUGGCUUGCCCCCUGUGGAGACAGACAAUGACCUGCUGGUGUGUGGAUAAACAGUAUGUGUGGAAAGGGUUAACAGCGGGUCUGUUAGCUAAAGCAGUGAGAAGAAGCUGAGAAGCAAGAAGAAGCUGAUAAGGAGCUCUCUUCAAGGCUGUCACCAAGGAGACCAAGAGAAGAGAGGAACUGAAGAAAGAUAAGGAGAGAACUUUGCAGUUGGAUGAAGUAUUUUUAGAAAGUUAGUUGAAGUCACCGUUGCUUUUCACCAAUGGUGUUAUGUUGAUUUAUUGUGGCCAAUAGUUGGGGUAGAAGAAGUAUAAACAAUUAAAAAGUGUAUAAAAGGUCAGCCAUUUUCGAUAAUAAAGAGUUGCCAUCUGAGACUGCUUGUGGUCUCUGCUUUGUGUCGUGACCGCAUCGACAAUGACAGAAAAGACUUUGGAACCACAGUGGGAAGGACCAUUCCAGGUGCUUCUCACUACCUUCACCGUGAUCAAGAUCAAGGAGCAGAAUGCCUGGAUCUGCCACUCUCGAGUGAAGAAGGGCCCAGAAGCCCUUUGAAGGGUGACACCAGGAGACAAGGAACUGAGACUAAAACUUACUUGGGCAAAAUGAGUAUAUUGUGGCCAGGGGUAGUUUGUAAUUUCAUUUACAUAAUUUUUUUGUGCAUAAUUAUAACUGGAGUCUUGGAAUUAGAGAGUACCUCUAUCCAAAGUGAUGCUGAAUGGCCUUGGUCCCAGGCUUUUAAUCAGUACACUGGAUCCAUGGGAUAACCUUCUGAGAUAAAAGAUUUAAACCCAUCCACUGUAGUAAUCCACGGGAAUCAGGUAUAUGAGGAGUGGGAGUGGCAGGAACGGGAACUGUGGACACUUCAAGGGAUCAGAGGAGAAGAAAUCAGGGUAGGAUGCUGAGUGGUCAAUGGGACCACUCAUGAGAGACCAAAUCAAAUUAGUGUCUCAGCCUCUCCUGUAUACAGACACCAGGAGGUUUGUGAUAGCCCAAGUCAAUCAGAUUGUUGGUGUAAUUUCACAUUAAUACAGCCUGUAGAAGUGACUUGUCUUUGGGCUCAUGAUGCUAUCGGGCUCUCAUUUAAAUUUAAAAUAGGUGCUAUACCUUUUACAAUGGCAAGACCUCAUACAACUCACACCAGUACUCAAGCAGCUCAGACCCAAACCAAACUUGAACCUGAAGUAUAUGAAAUAGGCCCAUACAUAGUGAGGAAUAUGGGUCUACAACAAUUGUUGUUCAAUCCAGAGUGGUCUUUCAAAUGUGUUGAAUUGCUAAUGCAAAUUAAUAUCUCAGAAAUCCAACCAGCCUGCUCCUCUUUCCUAAGGACAUCCUUUGAGGGCUGGACAAUGUGGUUACAAACCCAACUACACCUCAGGAACAGAAUAAGAAGGGAUCUAACUGGUAUAUUAGGGACAGGAUUGGGAGUUUUAAAUGGAAUUGAUUCAGAAAUACUGAUGAACAAGCUGGCCACUGCAGCAAGUGGUCUAGCAAAAUUGAAACAGCCCUUACAGUCAUUGCUAUUGCCAUUAGGAACUAGCCAGUGGCAGAUUUCAAAAGUACUGCCAAAGUGGGAAAAGGCCGGGGACCAUGACCACAGGUUAAUAGUAGAAGCACUUAGUAUGGUUCAAGAUAAUGUGUCUUUAGCUUUCAGUUGUAUACAAGCACAGUUAUGGAUGCAAGCAACAGCAGCUUUGAUCAUACGGUAAGGGGGUGAAGGUGAUUUCCCAGCUGAAAUUCAAAAGAUUGUCUGAGAUAAUGCGAUUGAUUUUGAAAGAAAGUUUCAGUCCUGGUGGACUAUGGUAAAUUUGACCUAUGAUCCUGCUUCUAAUGUGGCCACUGCCUUUGUGCUUACUAUAUGUAAUGCCACUGUUUAUGUUAUCCACCCCAUCAUUACACUAGGAGUAAAUAAUGAAAAAAUGGUGCUCUACCCUUCAGAACAUAAAGUGUGGGCACGAAAGGUGAAUGAAAAGUGGCAAACAGUAAACUUAGAAUCUUGUGUUACUAGAGAACAACUAGGAUUCAUUUGUAAAAGCAAUACUAUUAAUGCUCAAGAUGUGUGUCUUGACACCGAACAAAAUAUUUGCCACAUCGAGAUUCAUCCAGUCACUGAUUAGAAAACUGUGCUUGUAUAUACUGGUAAAGGUUGUGUAUGCUUGAGAACUGCUUGUGCUAUUGUAAAAAUCGAUAACAAUGAUGUUAUUUUGCCUUGUAGAAAUCAUUCUAAUUUUCAUAUUUGUAAUUUUGUUAAGAUUUCGGGUGUGAUUUUUCGUAUUUGGGCCCCGUGACAUCCCACCAGCUGAUCAAAACCAAUUGCACAAUGUAUCACAGACUAUCACCUACUCCUAUUGGAAUGGACCUCACAUUGGUGAAACAAUUAAUUAAACACCAAGAUCUAUUAGAGAUCUUGAAGAAAAUCCAAGAAAGUGGAGAGAAAACCCUAAUUACUGUCCAACAUGAUACAAAAGAAAUAACCAGAAUUCUGCAAAGAAUAAAACAAAAUGCAGAUCAUCACUGGUGGGAUGCAAUCUUUGGAUAGUCACCAACUGCAAAUGGGAUCUUAAAUAUCUUGUGUCACCCUAUUGUAGUUGUAUUGAUAUUAGUUGGAGUAAGUUUAGGGUUAUCUUUUUUAUUGCUAAUUUGGAAUUGGAGAAUACUGCAGUGAGUGGCUGUGUUAACCUCCUUAUCAAAUGUACAUGGUAAAGCAUUAAGGGACACCUAUUAUGGUAGGGAUUUGUAUUAAGUUAAAUAAUUUACUUUUACUUUUCUAGGAAAGGGGGGAAUGAAACAGAGUGGAAAUUUAACAGGGUAGAAAUCCAUUUCAGAUUUUGGCGAAAUGUGCCAUUUUGAAUUACUUAGCCUGUAGCCUGCUUGCAUAGAUGAAAUAUUCUGUUUUAACUUUUUUAGUCUGUUAACUCUGCUGUGCUCAAGACUGCCUGUUCUUGCAAAAAGCCGGUGCUGGUAAAACUGCCUCAGCCAAGGAAAAAGAAUGCGAACUUCCAAGCUAAAAGGAAGAUAAGGGGGGGCCCUUGAACUUUGAAACAAAGACGAGAGCCAAAGCUGAGGCUUCGAGAGAUGGACAGGGUGACCAGAGAGUUCUCUCUCUACAAGGACUGAUAAGAACUAGUUGCAAGUUGUAAUGCAAAACCAGUAAAAUGAAUAUGCAUUAACCUAUUGUGAAACUCUAUGCAUAUGUACAAGUAAGGGGGAUAAAAAAGGUUCAGGAAUUCUCAGGGGUGCAUGUGUCCUUUGGGGGGAAUGAUCCCCACAUGGGUUCAGUGCUGGACUAAACAUACUGUCUUUACAACUUUUACAAGUUGUGGAGUUAGUUUUUUUCCUCAAAUCAGUCAGGUGCUGCCAUAGUGACAAGCCGACCCUCCCAAAUGUCCCAAACCCAGGCAGUCCCCUGAUAAAAACGCAAGGGGGUAAAUCAUAGCUAUAAAUAUAUAGAACUUUUCUUAACAUAUAUACAUGAUAUUUGCAUUUGAAUGUGAGAGUCAAUCAUCACAUUACUCAUCUAUCACAGUGGGAAGGGUGAAUUCAGCUCACAUCUUCACCGCAUGGUUGAGAAGGUCCCAAGAUAUCUAGCUACAAGACCUUUUAAGGAUUUAUUAACAAAUAAAACACUGCCAACAAAGAUAUUUAUGUUUUUGACCCAAUCCUUAAAUAAUUUGUCUUAUGGACUCAUGCUACAGUGUAAGCUUUCUUAGCCAAUCAUGUUAUGACACACAAACCUACAGUACUGUACUCUAAAAGUCUAAACUUUCCUCUACUUAGCUUAAUGUGUCUCUACUUUAAACUAUAAAUCCACAUUCUCAUUUUUUGCACCUAAGUUUGGAAGCCUUUUCCAAGGUCUUCGAUCAAAUCCUGUGAUUAAUUCUAAGCUUUGGCUUACAGGCCCAAAGUUUUGAGAGUUCCUUGCAUUUCAGAUUCCAACACUAUACAAAGCAGUUAAAAGUCAGUAUAAGUUGUACUAUAUCAAAAUACUUGUGAUGCAAAAAGCUAAUCUAACAAUGUGAAAGCCAAUAUUAUAUUAUCAUCUAUAACACAACGAUAUGGGAAAAGGAAUUACACUUCUUUACUAGUAUGUAUAUGUAUGUCAGGCAAAUCCACAAAUGCCAGAGAUUUAUUCUAGCCAUGAUAUUUUAUGAAAAAUCCUUUGCUAGGAUUUUUCCCUCCUGAGAAGCUGAGGAGCCUCAGGAAAGAAACGUAAACAAUAACUAUCUGCUGCUGUGGAAUGCAACAGGUGCAUCUUCCAUUGGUCCAUUGGCCUGCUGCUGUGCUGCUGUCCCCGGGAGCUGCAGGAGCUGCCUCGGUGCCUGCUCUCUCUGCAUCGCCGCUGGCAAUUGAUUUCGCAACGGUGCAGGCAGCGCCGGGGCGGGCGGACCCUGUGCCAGUCCCGCCGCCCCCGGCGAUCCUGCCGCUCCCAGCCAACCCGAUUGCAGUGCAAGAGCAUGCAGAGACCGGCGCUGAGUCCGCGAGAUUGUCUCAAGAGCCGAUCCCGGCACCUGUGUCGCCCUCGCCAGACACCCUGGCUAUCCCGCCGCAUUCCGGAGCUCCGUCCUUCGCAUCAGCGUCUGCGUCUGAGCCUGCGCUGGAACCGGCAGCAUCUGAGUUCGCCAGACCGCCCCGAGCCGUCUGCCCCUGGGGCUGCGGCUGGGACCUCAGAGCCAGCAACUGGCCUGUCCCUCCGUGGAGGGGGCGUGGCUCAACACAUGAUUGCGGUUUUUGUUUCAGAAUUCUGCAAGCCUGUUUCAGGACCAAAGGGGACUUCCAGAGAUGUCAAAAAGGAACAUCUUCAGUCCAUGGACUCUGUCCUGAAAUUCAGCUGUUUGGACUUGAAACAAUGAACAUUCUUUGUGUGAGUUUUUUGCAUUUUCUUAUAUUUUAAGAUUGUUUUAGUGAUAUGAUAGAAUUUGAUGUUCUACAGGUGAAGAAUUUACCUGACCAUUCCACAUCAGCAGUUGAUUGAGGUUUUGAUUGGUAACAGAUGAACCUCAAGAGGUGUUUGUUCUCUCUUCUGCAAGGGCCCAGUAGAAGAAAUUACAAACACUCAUUUUUCUAUUUAAUUUAAUAAAUUUAAAAGGGUGAGAUGUAGCCAUGAUAUUUUAUUAAAAAUCCUUUGCUAGGAUUUUUCCCUCCUGGGAACCUGAGGAGCCUCAGGAAAGAAACGUAAACAAUAACUAUCUGCUGCUGUGGAAUGCAACAGGUGCAUCUUCCAUUGGUCCACGUGGAUUGUUUCCAAUUGAUGACCAAUCACACCCACCUGUGUCGAGGCUGUGGGCAGUCACAAGAUUUUAUUAUGCAUUCUAUUCUUGUUCUUUCUAGCUUUCUGGUGAAUCUUUUCUCUCUGUUCUUUUAGUAUGGUUUUAAUGUAGCAUUUUAAUAUAAUAUAUAUCAUAAUAUAAUAAACAAGCCUUCUGAGGACAUGAAGUCCAGACUCGCAUCUCCACAUAUGGGGCACCAGACACAACAAUUUAUGUCCAAAAAGGAGACAGAGGAGUUAUUCAAUUUUAUUUUUUUAUUUGAAUAAAGGGAGAAAGUCUACCAGGGCACACUCCCGCGGGGUUUUCCCACUCUCAGAGUUUCAGAGGGCGCAGCCUCCUUUUAUCCUAAACUCAUGUUGCCCUAUUCCUUUCCCCCUUGGCAGAGGUACUAGAAAGGUACAGGCUUCCUGAACUGCCUUCCACAUAUUCCUCCCUUAAACCUACUGUUUUCCCCAAAGUUCAGAAGUUCAGCCUUGUGCAGAGCCUUGUCUGUUCCAGGAGUCAAACUGUCUGGGCCCAGUAACAAACUUGCUGCCCAAACUCAGUAGAGACAUUAACACCCAUUUCAAAGACAUUAACACCCAUACCUUCACCAAUCAAAUUAUUUGUAAAGACAUUAGCACACAUCUUUCCUCUCAACCCCUCCUCUUCUUAUUUCUCAAUUUGUCUUUACAAACCCUAGUUAUUAUUAGCUUAACCCUUUUUAACAACCCAGAACAUUUGAAACACCCCAAAACAUUUAAAAUAUCCCCUCAUCUCUGCACCAGCUGUGCCAAGUGUUAUAAAUACAUAUUAUAAUAUUGGCUUUUUGCAAAUAUUAAAAUGGAUGCUAUAUGUAUAAUGUUAAAGUAACUUUGCUAUAAUUUUUUUUCUUCUUUCUGUUAGACAUAGUAGUGAAAUAGCUGAUAUAGUAUGCUUGUGUUAAACUGCCUGCUUGGUUGGGAUAACAUUCAAUGAACAUAGGAUGAAGACCUUUGCCAAACUAUCUAUACCCACCAUCUGGACCAAAGCCCAAACUGGAGGUAAUAACAAGAACGGACUAAAACCACCGCCAAGAAACGUGCAUGCUCUAAAAAGGCGGAUCUGAGAAGGAGCUGUUAAAAAUGUGGUUAGUAAUUAGUGGAAAUAAAAGAUGUAUCAAAUAUAUAUGUAUAAAAUAAAUGGCUGGUACACAGAAGGGGGGGGGGGGGAGAAAUUCUUCCCCAGGAUGUCGAAACCGCGGCAGAUGGGCAGAGAGGCACCACAACAUUUACAUGCGAAGGAAACGUUGGCUGCAAAGGAGAUGGGCAUUCACAGAAACAUGCACCCAGUGACGCCCAAGCGAUGAUGGUCCAGACAAGAUACCCAUCUGAGAUGACCAGAGCCAUCAACACCUUCCACCUGAAUGCAAGAUUCCGGGAAUCAGGGAAGUGUAUCAUUCUAUUCCCGGAUGAAGGCUUUGUGCAGCCCGAGCCAAAGAAAGAAACCAACUUGAAUAUGAAGAACUCAGAAAGAAACAAAGAGACUCUGCCGUGGGCAAAAUAAACUGUAUAAGAACCGCUGCCUCAGAGCAGCCAGUGUGGACGGGGAAGAAUUGGUGCUAGCGAGACCGAUCUCGUGUCCACCCAGCUCACCUCCCGGGGGUGGUACACUGUGCGAUUUAUUGGUGGCUGUCGGGACUGUAUUACGGUCGUGAAAUAAAUUCUAUUUAAAUUUUUUUAUUAAAAUUGGCUAUUUUUCAUUUUUCAUUUAUAACAGAGCCAUGCUAAACAGUUCUUGGAACAUGUAAACUAGUUUGGAGAAAAGUUUAAAUAUACAUAAUUGUUUAUGAAUAUGCAAUGGGCUGAUGCAAGAGAAAAGGUAUUGUGAAAAACUCAUAUAAUAUGAUUGGCUUUUUGCAAAUAUUAAAAUGAACACUAUAUGUGUUAUGAUGGAAAGUUAUUUUGCAUUAAUCUUGUUUUUGUAGUACUGUACUAAUCUUUUUAAGAAGUGUGGUGAGGCUACAGAAACUAUGUGAUGUAAGAUACUUUUUCUAACUAACUCAAGGAGAGAUAACAGUAACAAGACACCAAAAACCCAAGAGAAGAAUUGAAUUAUUGCCUCCUUAUCAGGAAGAACCAGACUUUGAGGGAUCAAAACGAUUGCUUCACAAGAUGGGGGGCGGGGUUGACAAUGACCAGAGAACACCCUUUGUUUGAAAAUAAUUUUUGCAUUAUGUAUGAGAUAUAUGAAUAUGCAACAGGGUAUUGUUUUUAAGAGUUAAUCUUUUUUUAGUGGGUGUGCUUUUCCGGGCUUAAUUUGCUCAGGAAUGCACCCAGAUUAUUUGAAAGUCUUUGUUUUUAUUGUCCUUUAUUGUUCUAACUCUGAUUGUCCAAAUUCUUAUUACUAUAAUUUUUAUUAUUAUUUUUAUAAGCACUUUAUUGCUAUUAAACUUUUAAAAUUUUAAGACAAGUGAUUGGU
Molecule: long non-coding RNA, 8246 nt
Organism: Passer domesticus (house sparrow)
Lineage: Eukaryota; Metazoa; Chordata; Aves; Passeriformes; Passeridae
Exons: 3
Source: RefSeq, a predicted model, not a curated record